Molecule: transfer RNA, 73 nt
Filed under: Nitrososphaerota archaeon
Lineage: Archaea; Thermoproteati; Nitrososphaerota
Also listed under: 1 other name
Description: tRNA-Val
Rfam family: tRNA
About the family: Transfer RNA (tRNA) molecules are approximately 80 nucleotides in length. Their secondary structure includes four short double-helical elements and three loops (D, anti-codon, and T loops).
Source: RNAcentral
GGGGCCGUGGUCUAGCGGCUAUGACGCCGCCCUUACGAGGCGGAGGUCGCCGGUUCGAGUCCGGCCGGCCCCA